GAUGAAGAACGUAGCGAAAUGCGAUAAGUAAUGUGAAUUGCAGAAUUCAGUGAAUCAUCGAAUCUUUGAACGCACAUUGCGCCCGCCAGUAUUCUGGCGGGCAUGCCUGUCUGAGCGUCAUUUCAACCCUCAUGCCCCUAGGGCGUGGUGUUGGGGAUCGGCCAAAGCCCGCGAGGGACGGCCGGCCCCUAAAUCUAGUGGCGGACCCGUCGUGGCCUCCUCUGCGAAGUAGUGAUAUUCCGCAUCGGAGAGCGACGAGCCCCUGACGUUAAACCCCCAACUUUCCAAGGUUGACCUCAGAUCAGGUAGGAAUACCCGCUGAACUUAAGCAUAUCAAUAAGCGGAGGA
Molecule: unclassified non-coding RNA, 348 nt
Filed under: soil metagenome
Description: partial contains 5.8S ribosomal RNA, internal transcribed spacer 2, and large subunit ribosomal RNA
Rfam family: 5.8S ribosomal RNA (bases 1-120)
Source: RNAcentral